This 73-nucleotide transfer RNA is filed under the name Camelus bactrianus (Bactrian camel). It matches the Rfam family "tRNA". From Rfam's summary of the family: Transfer RNA (tRNA) molecules are approximately 80 nucleotides in length. Their secondary structure includes four short double-helical elements and three loops (D, anti-codon, and T loops). The record is from Rfam by way of RNAcentral. Lineage: Eukaryota; Metazoa; Chordata; Mammalia; Artiodactyla; Camelidae. RNAcentral also lists the same sequence under 1 other name.
UGGGGCAUAGCUCAGUGGUAGGGCACUGUGCGUAGCAUGCACAAAGUCCUGGGUUCAAUUCCCAGUACCUCCA